This 506-nucleotide ribosomal RNA is filed under the name uncultured bacterium. RNAcentral's name for it is "partial 16S ribosomal RNA". It matches the Rfam family "Bacterial small subunit ribosomal RNA", at positions 28 to 523 of the family's 1533-position model. The record is from RNAcentral.
GAUGAACGCUAGCUACAGGCUUAACACAUGCAAGUCGAGGGGUAACGAGAGGAAAGCUUGCUUUCCUUGUCGACGACCGGCGCACGGGUGAGUAACGCGUACCCAACCUGCCCCCAACUAGGGAAUAACCUUGCGAAAGUAAGACUAAUACCCUAUAAUUUCCUCAGAUGUUAUCUGACGAGGAAUAAAGAUUUAUCGGUUGUGGAUGGGGAUGCGUCGGAUUAGCUUGUUGGCGGGGUAACGGCCCACCAAGGCAACGAUCAGUAGGGGUUCUGGGAGGAAGGUCCCCCACAGUGGAACUGAGACACGGUCCAAACGCCUACGGGAGGCAGCAGUGAGGAAUAUUGGUCAAUGGGCGGAAGCCUGAACCAGCCAAGUAGCGUGCAGGAUGACGGCCCUAUGGGUUGUAAACUGCUUUUGUACAGGAAUAAAGUUAGCCACGUGUGGUUAUUUGUAGGUACUGUAUGAAUAAGGACCGGCUAAUUCCGUGCCAGCCGCCGCCGUAA